This 238-nucleotide ribosomal RNA is filed under the name uncultured bacterium. RNAcentral describes it as "partial 16S ribosomal RNA". It matches the Rfam family "Bacterial small subunit ribosomal RNA", at positions 8 to 712 of the family's 1533-position model. The record is from RNAcentral.
AGAGUUUGAUCCUGGCUCAGGAUGAACGCUGGCGGCGUGCUUAACACAUGCAAGUCGAGCGAAGCGCUUAAACGGAUUUAUUGGGUGUAAAGGGUGCGUAGACGGGAAGGUAAGUUGAAUGUUUAAACUAUCGGCUCAACUGAUAGUCGCGUUCAAAACUAUCACUCUUGAGUGCAGUAGAGGUAGGCGGAAUUCCUAGUGUAGCGGUGAAAUGCGUAGAUAUUAGGAAGAACACCGG